UUCGUAGGCGGUGCGGUCAAGUUGGGAGUGAAAUCUCUGGGCUUAACUCAGAGGCUGCUUUCAAAACUGCCGUGCUCGAGUGCGGGAGAGGCCAGUGGAAUUGCAGGUGUAGCGGUGAAAUGCGUAGAUAUCUGCAGGAACACCCGUGGCGAAGGCGGCUGGCUGGACCGCGACUGACGCUGAGGAACGAAAGCUAGGGGAGCAAACAGGAUUAGAUACCCUGGUAGUCCUAGCCCUAAACCAUCAGGACUUGGGGUGGCCCGCGUAGGCGGGUCGUCUCGUAGCUAACGCGUUAAGUCCUGCGCCUGGGGAGUACGGUCGCAAGACUGAA
Molecule: ribosomal RNA, 331 nt
Filed under: uncultured bacterium
Lineage: Bacteria
Description: bacterial SSU rRNA
Rfam family: Bacterial small subunit ribosomal RNA
Source: RNAcentral